CCCUUAGACGUUCUGGGCCGCACGCGCGCUACACUGACCAGUGCAACAAGCAUCCGUCCUUGGCCGACAGGCUCGGGCAAUCUUUGAACGCUGGUCGUGAUGGGGAUAGACUUUUGCAAUUUUUGGUCUUCAACGAGGAAUUCCUAGUAAACGCAAGUCAUCAACUUGCAUUGAUUACGUCCCUGCCCUUUGUACACACCGCCCGUCGCACCUACCGAUUGAAUGGUCCGGUGAAGCCUCCGGAUUGGCGCGCACCUCGGUGCCGCCGAGAAGUUGGCUAAACCUGACCAUUUAGAGGAAGGUGAANUCGUANCA
RNAcentral lists this ribosomal RNA (315 nucleotides) under uncultured eukaryote. Its description in RNAcentral is "partial 18S ribosomal RNA". It matches the Rfam family "Eukaryotic small subunit ribosomal RNA", at positions 1470 to 1796 of the family's 1831-position model. The record is from RNAcentral.